CGAGACGACGCUGGCGGCGUGCUUAACACAUGCAAGUCGAACGGUGACGAGGAGCUUGCUCCUCCGAUCAGUGGCGAACGGGUGAGUAACACGUGAGUAACCUGCCCCAGACUCUGGAAUAACAGUUGGAAACAGCUGCUAAUACCGGAUACGAGACGGAGAGGCAUCUCUACCGUCUGGAAAGUUUUCGAUCUGGGAUGGACUCGCGGCCUAUCAGCUUGUUGGUGAGGUAAUGGCUCACCAAGGCGACGACGGGUAGCCGGCCUGAGAGGGCGACCGGCCACACUGGGGCUGAGACACGGCCCAGACUCCUACGGGAGGCAGCAGUGGGAAUAUUGCACAAUGGGCGAAAGCCUGAUGCAGCAACGCCGCGUGAGGGAUGACGGCCUUCGGGUUGUAAACCUCUUUCAGUAGGGAAGAAGCGAAAGUGACGGUACCUACAGAAGAAGCACCGGCUAACUACGUG
RNAcentral lists this ribosomal RNA (466 nucleotides) under uncultured bacterium. RNAcentral describes it as "bacterial SSU rRNA". It matches the Rfam family "Bacterial small subunit ribosomal RNA", at positions 33 to 507 of the family's 1533-position model. The record is from RNAcentral.